Molecule: ribosomal RNA, 501 nt
Filed under: uncultured bacterium
Lineage: Bacteria
Description: partial 16S ribosomal RNA
Rfam family: Bacterial small subunit ribosomal RNA
Source: RNAcentral
AUUGAACGCUGGCGGCAGGCUUAACACAUGCAGGUCGAGCGGGGGAAGGUAGCUUGCUACUGGACCUAGCGGCGGACGGGUGAGUAAUGCUUAGGAAUCUGCCUAUUAGUGGGGGACAACAUCUCGAAAGGGAUGCUAAUACCGCAUACGUCCUACGGGAGAAAGCAGGGGAUCUUCGGACCUUGCGCUAAUAGAUGAGCCUAAGUCGGAUUAGCUAGCUGGUGGGGUAAAGGCCUACCAAGGCUACGAUCUGUAGCGGGUCUGAGAGGAUGAUCAGACACACUGGGACUGAGACACGGCGCAGACUCCUACGGGAGGCAGCAGGUGGGAAUAUUGGACAAUGGGGGGAACCCUGAUCCAGACAUGAAGCGUGUGUGAAGAAGGCCUUAUGGUUGUAAAGCACUUUAAGCGAGGAGGAGGCUACUUUAGUUAAUACCUAGAGAUAGUGGACGUUACUCGCAGAAUAAGCACCGGCUAACUCUGUGCCAGCCGCCGCCGUAA